RNAcentral lists this long non-coding RNA (4181 nucleotides) under Setaria viridis. RNAcentral's name for it is "long non-coding RNA (SVIR_LNC011385)". The record is from RNAcentral. Lineage: Eukaryota; Viridiplantae; Streptophyta; Magnoliopsida; Poales; Poaceae.
GACCAAUGCCGUGACUCCGUGAAGCACUGAGGUUGUGAGGUCUAUUAUACUCAUGACAGUAAUAAUAUAGCGAGCUGUCAUGGCUACGUAUGGCCUAUGCCAUAGCAUCAGUUGCUGUGCUGCACCUGCCUGCACGCCUCAAACUCGGUUGCUGUGCAUAGAUGAGGUCUGCCGCAGCACAUGGAGCGCCUCCACUGGCCACUGCAUGGCCUGAGAUGCCUUGCGUAGCACCAUCUCGGCCAUAGGACAAACACAACAUCACAUCCUAUGUUGCGUUCACACCCAAAUUUGGAUUACGAUGGGACUCAGGGAUCGGAGGUGGCCUUUCCCUCUAUCACCAUUUUUCUUUUGUCCUGACAAGGCUGCAGAUUUUUUCUAUCGCUUUGAUUGGUAAAUUCAGACUAAGGGCAUGUUUGUCCACGAGGACUCAAGUUUAAUCCGUAUCACAUAUUAGAAGUAUUAAAUAUAGGUUAAUUACAAAACUAAUUGCAUAAAUGAAGGCUAAUUCGCAAGACGAAUCUAUUAAGCCUAAUUAGUUCAUGAUUUGACCAUGUGAUGCUACAGUAAAUAUGUGCUAAUCAUGAAUUAAUUAUACUUAAUAGAUUCAUCUCGCGAAUUAGCCAUGGCUUAUGCAAUUAGUUUUAUAAUUAGUUCACGUUUAGUCCUUCUAAUUGGUAUCGAAACAUCCGAUGUGAUCCGAACUAAAAAUUAGUCCAUGCAUCUAACAAGAUGAGCUGGUGAGGAGAUCAAAGAGAAGAAAGGGAAAAAGUGCAUGCUAAGAAGCCCUUAUAAAUCAUUCUUAGUGCCAAAUGCUCUCUGUGUGUUAUAUAUUAGUAUUUAGUCGAUUUAGUAUGCUCGGCUGGUGCACAAAAGCAGCAACCAAAUUUAGACAUAUGUAUUCUACUAUUCUACCUUAACACUAAAAAUAUAUAACUAAUGAAUUAUUGAGUUAAGUUAGCAGAUUUUAUGCCGUGCUGACAUUUGGAGUGGAGACUGAUUUUGUUUUCUUAUGAAAAUUAGAGGUAAUUAAAGUGCUCAAACACAAACAUGAGUGCUUGUUGGAAUAUUACCAAAGAAACGUCGUUCUUAAUUAAUUAUCACUGCUUCAAACAAUCGAACUGUUUUAUUUUUGAAAGUGAACUUUUUAUACAGUAUUUCUAUCUUUUUAGUUAGGUUUCAUCAUGAUUCCGAGGUGUCCACGCAUGACUAAACAGAAUUUAGUACAAACCUAAAAAAGCAAUUAAGGAUCAUGAUUCAACCCUUAUCAUUCUAUGUUUCAUGUGACAAAACUCCUCUAACAAAGAACAUAAAAAAGCAUUAAGACGAAAGGAUGCUUAUGCUGUUGCAUAAUAACUCAACAACUUUUAUAUUGUGUUUUUCUCUGGAUGUUACUUUUUCUGGUGAAAUAUCCUUCUUUUUUGUAAAUGGCUUUCUGAACAUAAUUUUAAAAGGCUUGCUUGUUCAAUUGACCAUCCACUGAUCACUUCAAUUUUCUUGUGAAAACAGCAUGUACAAAACACUCGAGAGAUACCGCAGCUCCAAUUACGGCUCACAGGAAAUAAAAACUCCAUUGGACGGUGAAGUAAGCUUAAUGAGUUCUUAACAUCCUUUUUUGACAUAAUGCUUUUGUGAUCACUUUUGUGAGGAUGUAACGUAUUGUUAUAUAGACAAGAAUAUAAUAUGUUAUUGUGAGUCUGUUGGUCUCUUCCAGUGACACAGAUCGCUCCAAAAAAUAAUGAACCAAAUCUACUUUCUCAUCGGUCAAAUGGACUAUAUUCAUGUCCUUUCCAAACUAAUUGAUAUCAUACUUUUUAUGCUUACUUUCCAUCAUAAAGCUUCAUUGACUAUCAAGGAAAGGAAGUGUGCAGACAUUCUUGCUCAACAUUGUGUAUUAGGAAUAGAGAUGUAGUAGUAUGAUUGACCUAGGCUUGAAUAUACACGACCGUAUGAUCACGUUCUUUGAUUAUGUGUGCAGUGUUUUUUGACUUGAAUGUACAAUCAGGAAACUAUUUCCUAGAGAACUGAAUGUUAGCUCAGUUCGACUAGAUACGGGCAUUUAUAUUUUUUAGUUCAACGAUAAAGCGCGUGCCCAUGCUAUUCUUGUUAGAUGUGUGCUAGAUAGGGCACAUCUAUGUUGGGUGUGUGGGUGUGAUAUGUGUGCGUGAAUGCGCAGGUGCAUCCAAUUUGUGCUCUCAAAAAGGAAGCUGAUUCUUAGUUGGGUUUCACCAACGGGUGGGCUGGCAAAAGGCGAACAAUUUUGGAGAGCAUUGGGCUGUGAGUUCCUAUUUUGUUUGGGGAUGGAUUGCGUGUGGGUUGAGCUUGACAACUGGACCAUAUACAUACAAGCCCAUCUCUCCUUCGCUGAGCCCGCCAUAUGCAAGCCCGGCCCAUGUAUCUUCCUGAAAGGAGAUAGUUCAUUUUUUUCCUUCCACCAAAAUACAAAAAUUUAUAUCUCAAAACCACAUCAUAAAUUGAUAAGUAUACAAAAUUAUGUGUUAGUUUCCAAAAUAAUAUUAUUUGGCAUGAAUGAAAAAUACUUUUUUUUUGUCAAAAUAGAUGCUAAAAUUCUUAAUUUCACGAUUAUACAUAAUACGGCAGGCAUGGGAUUUCUUGAAUGCUGCCUACAUCCUGCCUGAUCAUUUCCGAAGAAAUUCUGUUGUAGAAGUCAGUUGCCAACUUUUUAUGGAACUAUGUUUGUUUGUUUGUUUGGAGAACACGAUCUAUAUACUGACCUUGAACUUUAUAUCUUCCCAAGCAUGAUCUCCCUUUGACUUACUCUGUUUCGUUCUGGUCGUUCUUGUUGAAACUAGAUCAACUACCAGGAUUAUUUGAAGUUGAAGACCAGAGUUGAAUUUCUUCAAACUACACAAAGGUAGUCUUCAAAGAUGGUACUGAUAGUUUGUUUCAGCUGCACUAAAAUUCGUUAACUGGCCUCUGAUGUAGAGAUGUGGCACUAAUUCAUCAUUGUAGAAAUAUUCUUGGUGAGGAUCUGGGUCCACUUAGCAUGAAGGAGCUUGAGCAGCUUGAGAACCAAAUAGAGAUAUCCCUGAAACAUAUCAGGACAAGAAAGGUGGAAAACUUGACUAGCGUCAAUUUGUACAUUUCUAUACGUUGUUUGGCUUGCUUAUGACGAGAGUUGAUAUGUUUACAGAAUCAAAUGUUGCUUGAUCAGCUCUUUGAUCUGAAAAGUAAGGUAAUAAUGAUACGUUUCGAUUACCUUUUGUCUAAUUUUAUUUCUUUUCCUUGCAUUCAUAUAAACUUUGUAAUCGCGAGGUAACAAUUAUGUUUUGCAGGAGCAAGAACUACAGGACCUUAACAAGGACCUCAGGAAAAAGGUAACAUCAUUGACCUUAAAAAAUUUCUUAUUAUGAUGAACAUAGGAUUUUAUUUUUUGGGUGAUGAUGAUGAACUUGGAUGUUACUAAUGCUUAACACUACAUAUUUUUUUCCCCUGUUCUUGACGAAGAUGUGACAUAACACUUUAACCAAAUAAGCUCACCUUUUGUGUUGAGGCUAACUUAAUUCAUUACUGAUCUAUUGCAAGUGCCAGUUGCAAGAAACCAAUGCAGAGAGUGUGCUACAUGUUUCCUGGGAAGAAGGUGGGCACAGUGGCACUAGUGGGAAUGCCAUUGAACCUUAUCAGGGAUUCCUUCAGCACCCAGACAAUGAUCCUUCCCUGCAGAUUGGGUAAGUUUCUCCACUCGUCGAACAGUAGCACAAAAAAAAUAAAAAUCAAGAGAAAGCUGUAAAUAUGCUCAAGGAAGACAUAACUGUUAUCUGAACCUGUGCAAUCGCAACAAUCACAUCAGAGUCAUUUGCUUUGGAGAAACAGGAUCCCAGCACUUUCAGAUUGAGCACUUCAUUUCUUUAGCAUGUUUUCAUUCAUUACUCUUCUUUUUAUAACUAACUAACUCAAUGAAUGGUCGUCCUCUGCGAAGGUACCACCAACAAGCCUACAUGGACCAGCUGAACAACGAAGACAUGGCGGACCCAAACGAGCACGGUGGAUCCGGAUGGAUUUGAAGUGCUCAGACGACUGAAAUAAGCUGAUGCAUGGCCGGCCUAGCAGGACGCAUUUCCGGCCCUCUUCUACGCAUUAUUGAAUGAAAGUUUGAUUGAAACUGCUCUUGAGACUUCCCAAAACGAUGAAGAGAACAGGGGAGCAAUUCGAGCCCGUAUUGU